Molecule: long non-coding RNA, 1032 nt
Organism: Mytilus californianus (California mussel)
Lineage: Eukaryota; Metazoa; Mollusca; Bivalvia; Mytilida; Mytilidae
Exons: 3
Source: RefSeq, a predicted model, not a curated record
AAACCAGAUUUAAUCCACCAUUUUCUACAUAAGAAAAUGUCUGUACCAAGCCAGGACUAUUACAGUUGUUAACCAUUCGUUUGAUGUAUUUGAGUUUUUGAUUUUGCCAUUUGAUAAGGGACUUUUCGUUUGGAAUUUUUCUCGGAGUUCGGUAUUUUUUUUAUUAAAUUUUUUUCAAGAACAAUAGGUCUUUCUUUUGAGGGAACAACCCGGACCAUGUUUCAAUGAAAUAUGCUUCAAGGCAUAACAUAAUGACCUACAUAAGGUCAUCAUUUACCCUGAUUAAAAUGCAAACUAGAGUUUGUUAAAACAUUUCUUUUAAAAGCAGUCACAUGUUGAUGCCAACGGAGGUUUUCUGAACAAUUUCUAAUAUAUAAUCGUCUAUUGAAAAAGAGAGGCGAAGGAUACCAAAGGGACAAAGUCGAAAAUAAACUGACAACGCAAUGGCUAAAAAAACCAAACAAACAGACAAAACAUAGUACACAAAACACAACAUAGAAAACUAAAGACUGAGCAACACGAACUCAACCAAACAAUGGGGUGAUAUCAGGUGAUCUGGAAGGGUAAGCAGAUCCUGCUCCAUUAUUGAACAUAUAUUUUCUUAUAAAAUGAACUCUUCUUUUGAAGGUAUCUUAGUUAAUUGCGUAAAGAUACAGCACCGAGGCCGUACUGGCCAUGGAGGACAUAACUAUGAUGUUGUCCUUACAUCACAGACAAAAGAUGUGGAAUUUGGAAAAAAUAUGUCCCUUAUAUGUGAAGCAAAGCAUGCAUGUACGGUGAACUCGUGGUCGGUAAAAGAACAAAACGGAACAUACGAAACUGUAGUCAGAGAGUCAACACCAUUCAACAGAACAAAGUAUGGAGCACAUCUGAGUAAAAUGGAAAGAAGGACCAUUUAUGAAUUGAUUAUUUACCGUUUGGAGAAAAAUGAUGUGCGUAAUGACUACCGCUGCGAUUGCGAUACUCACUCCGGAUACAUAACUGACAUGUAUGACAGACUAACAUUUAUUAAGGAUACUAAGGGAACCAAAG